UACGGAGGGGGCUAGCGUUGUUCGGAAUCAUUGGGCGUAAAGGGCGCGUAGGCGGCUGAUCAAGUCGGAGGUGAAAUCCCUCGGCUCAACUGAGGAAUUGCCUUCGAUACUGUUCGGCUUGAGUCCUGGAGAGGGUAGCGGAAUUCCCGGUGUAGCGGUGAAAUGCGUAGAGACCGGGAAGAACACCAGUGGCGAAGGCGGCAUCCUGGACCGGCAUUGACGCUGAGACGCGAAAGCGUGGGGAGCAAACAGG
Molecule: ribosomal RNA, 253 nt
Filed under: uncultured bacterium
Lineage: Bacteria
Description: partial 16S ribosomal RNA
Rfam family: Bacterial small subunit ribosomal RNA
Source: RNAcentral